This 74-nucleotide transfer RNA is filed under the name bacterium. RNAcentral describes it as "tRNA-Gln". It matches the Rfam family "tRNA". From Rfam's summary of the family: Transfer RNA (tRNA) molecules are approximately 80 nucleotides in length. Their secondary structure includes four short double-helical elements and three loops (D, anti-codon, and T loops). Further hydrogen bonds mediate the characteristic L-shaped molecular structure. tRNAs have two regions of fundamental functional importance: the anti-codon, which is responsible for specific mRNA codon recognition, and the 3' end, to which the tRNAs corresponding amino acid is attached (by aminoacyl-tRNA synthetases). tRNAs cope with the degeneracy of the genetic code in two manners: having more than one tRNA (with a specific anti-codon) for a particular amino acid; and 'wobble' base-pairing, i.e. permitting non-standard base-pairing at the 3rd anti-codon position. The record is from RNAcentral.
UCGGGGAUGGUCUAAUGGUAGGACAUGGGCCUUUGAAGCCCAGUAUCUAGGUUCGAAUCCUAGUCCCCGAGCCA